AGUGAACGCUGGCGGUAGGCCUAACACAUGCAAGUCGAACGGCAGCACAGUAAGAGCUUGCUCUUACGGGUGGCGAGUGGCGGACGGGUGAGGAAUACAUCGGAAUCUACUUUUUCGUGGGGGAUAACGUAGGGAAACCUACGCUAAUACCGCAUACGACCUACGGGUGAAAGCAGGGGAUCUUCGGACCUUGCGCGAGUGAAUGAGCCGAUGUCGGAUUAGCUUGUUGGCGGGGUAAAGGCCCACCAAGGCGACGAUCCUUAGCUGGUCUGAGAGGAUGAGCAGCCACACUGGAACUGAGACACGGUCCAGACUCCUACGGGAGUCAGCAGUGGGGAAUAUUGGACAAUGGGCGCAAGCCUGCUCCAGCCAUGCCGCGUGGGUGAAGAAGGCCUUCGGGUUGUAAAGCCCUUUUGUUGGGAAAGAAAAGCAGCAGGUUAAUCCCCCGCUGUUCUGACGGUACCCAAAGAAUAAGCACCGGCUAACUUCGUG
This 492-nucleotide ribosomal RNA is filed under the name uncultured bacterium. RNAcentral describes it as "partial 16S ribosomal RNA". It matches the Rfam family "Bacterial small subunit ribosomal RNA", at positions 29 to 507 of the family's 1533-position model. The record is from RNAcentral.